UACAGAGGGGGCAAGCGUUAUUCGGAAUUAUUGGGCGUAAAGGGCGCGUAGGCGGCUUUGCAAGUGACGGGUGAAAUCCCUCGGCUUAACCGAGGAACUGCCUGUCAGACUGCAUGGCUCGAGACCAGGAGAGGUGAGUGGAAUUCCCAGUGUAGCGGUGAAAUGCGUAGAUAUUGGGAGGAACACCAGUGGCGAAGGCGGCUCACUGGACUGGUACUGACGCUGAGGCGCGAAAGCCAGGGGAGCAAACGGG
RNAcentral lists this ribosomal RNA (253 nucleotides) under uncultured bacterium. RNAcentral describes it as "partial 16S ribosomal RNA". It matches the Rfam family "Bacterial small subunit ribosomal RNA", at positions 524 to 776 of the family's 1533-position model. The record is from RNAcentral.